Molecule: long non-coding RNA, 202 nt
Filed under: Elaeis guineensis (African oil palm)
Lineage: Eukaryota; Viridiplantae; Streptophyta; Magnoliopsida; Arecales; Arecaceae
Description: long non-coding RNA (EGUI_LNC035574)
Source: RNAcentral
CUGACGACUGUCAAGAGCAGCUAGAAGGAUGGGCCUUCUGAAGCUACGUCUAAAAUGCUCGUUAUUGAAACUAAACUAACAAUUUUCUCUUCUUCUAGUUGGGUUCUUGAUUCUGGUUCAAGUGUUUAUUUGUGCAUUUCAAUGCAGGAUCUUGAAGAAGUUAGGAGGCUGAGAGAAGGUGAGAUCACUCUUCGAGUCGAUA